CUAAGAAUAUUCCGCAAUGGACGAAAGUCUGACGGAGCGACGCCGCGUGGAUGAAGAAGGCCGCAAGGUUGUAAAAUCCUUUUGCUGGGGAAGAAUAAGUCCAGGAGGGAAUGCCUGGAUGAUGACAUGAACCGGCGAAUAAGCCCCGGCCAACUACGUGCCAGCAGCCGCGGUAACACGUAGGGGGCGAGCGUUGUUCGGAAUUACUGGGCGUAAAGGGCAUGUAGGCGGUUUAGUAAGCUUGGCGUGAAAGACCACAGCUCAACUGUGGGGUUGCGUUGAGAACUGCUGAACUUGAGUUACGGAGAGGGAGCUAGAAUUCCUGGUGUAGGGGUGGAACCUGUAGAGAUCAGGAAGAAUACCGAUGGCGAAGGCGGCCACCUGGACAGGCAUUGACGCUGAGGUGCGAAAGUGUGGGGAGCAAACA
RNAcentral lists this ribosomal RNA (427 nucleotides) under uncultured prokaryote. Its description in RNAcentral is "bacterial SSU rRNA". It matches the Rfam family "Bacterial small subunit ribosomal RNA", at positions 355 to 774 of the family's 1533-position model. The record is from RNAcentral.